UACGCAGAUGACGAAAAAAAUAGACAGGGACAUCAGUACUCCAAAGGAGAAUGUUGACUGUCUAAUGGGAAUCUCUCUGAUGCGUU
This 86-nucleotide small nucleolar RNA is filed under the name Vigna angularis (adzuki bean). RNAcentral describes it as "snoRNA snoR44_J54". It matches the Rfam family "Small nucleolar RNA R44/J54/Z268 family". Rfam says of the family: R44, J54 and Z268 are members of the C/D class of snoRNA which contain the C (UGAUGA) and D (CUGA) box motifs. Most of the members of the box C/D family function in directing site-specific 2'-O-methylation of substrate RNAs. The record is from Rfam by way of RNAcentral. RNAcentral also lists the same sequence under 1 other name. Lineage: Eukaryota; Viridiplantae; Streptophyta; Magnoliopsida; Fabales; Fabaceae.